Molecule: transfer RNA, 74 nt
Filed under: Candidatus Omnitrophota bacterium
Lineage: Bacteria; Pseudomonadati; Candidatus Omnitrophota
Description: Candidatus Omnitrophica bacterium tRNA-Gln
Rfam family: tRNA
About the family: Transfer RNA (tRNA) molecules are approximately 80 nucleotides in length. Their secondary structure includes four short double-helical elements and three loops (D, anti-codon, and T loops).
Source: RNAcentral
UGCCCUGUAGUGUAAUGGUAGCACGACUGGCUCUGGACCAGUUAAUCAUGGUUCGAAUCCAUGCGGGGCAGCCA